CGUCGAGCUCGUGUCGUGAGAUGUUCGGUUAAGUCCGCUAACGAGCGCAACCCUCACUGUGUGUUAUAUGUGUCACACGGGACUGCCGGUUUUAAGCCGGAGGAAGGUGGGAUGACGUCAAGUCAGCAUGGCCUUUAUAUCCUGGGCUACACACACGCUACAAUGGUCGGUACAAUAGGUUGCCAAGCCGCGAGGCGGAGCCAAUCCAUAAAAGCCGGCCUCAGUUCAGAUUGUAGGCUGCAACUCGCCUGCAUGAAGAUGGAGUUGCUAGUAACCGCAGGUCAGCAAUACUGCGGUGAAUACGUUCCCGGGUCUU
RNAcentral lists this ribosomal RNA (316 nucleotides) under uncultured Anaerolineaceae bacterium. Its description in RNAcentral is "bacterial SSU rRNA". It matches the Rfam family "Bacterial small subunit ribosomal RNA", at positions 1053 to 1382 of the family's 1533-position model. Lineage: Bacteria; Bacillati; Chloroflexota; Anaerolineae; Anaerolineales; Anaerolineaceae. The record is from RNAcentral.